RNAcentral lists this ribosomal RNA (503 nucleotides) under uncultured bacterium. Its description in RNAcentral is "partial 16S ribosomal RNA". It matches the Rfam family "Bacterial small subunit ribosomal RNA", at positions 30 to 523 of the family's 1533-position model. The record is from RNAcentral.
AUUGAACGCUGGCGGCAGGCUUAACACAUGCAAGUCGAGCGGGGUGAUGGUGCUUGCACUAUCACUUAGCGGCGGACGGGUGAGUAAUGCUUAGGAAUCUGCCUAUUAGUGGGGGACAACAUCUCGAAAGGGAUGCUAAUACCGCAUACGUCCUACGGGAGAAAGCAGGGGAUCACUUGUGACCUUGCGCUAAUAGAUGAGCCUAAGUCGGAUUAGCUAGUUGGUGGGGUAAAGGCCUACCAAGGCGACGAUCUGUAGCGGGUCUGAGAGGAUGAUCCGCCGCACUGGGACUGAGACACGGCCCAGACUCCUACGGGAGGCAGCAGUUGGGAAUAUUGGACAAUGGGGGGAACCCUGAUCCAGCCAUGCCGCGUGUGUGAAGAAGGCCUUAUGGUUGUAAAGCACUUUAAGCGAGGAGGAGGCUCUUUUGGUUAAUACCCAAGAUGAGUGGACGUUACUCGCAGAAUAAGCACCGGCUAACUCUGUGCCAGCAGCCGCAGUAA